RNAcentral lists this ribosomal RNA (634 nucleotides) under Klebsiella quasipneumoniae subsp. similipneumoniae. RNAcentral describes it as "partial 23S ribosomal RNA". It matches the Rfam family "Bacterial large subunit ribosomal RNA", at positions 2240 to 2868 of the family's 2925-position model. The record is from RNAcentral. Lineage: Bacteria; Pseudomonadati; Pseudomonadota; Gammaproteobacteria; Enterobacterales; Enterobacteriaceae.
CGGGGUUGCGGACAGUGUCUGGUGGGUAGUUUGACUGGGGCGGUCUCCUCCCAAAGCGUAACGGAGGAGCACGAAGGUUAGCUAAUCCUGGUCGGACAUCAGGAGGUUAGUGCAAUGGCAUAAGCUAGCUUGACUGCGAGCGUGACGGCGCGAGCAGGUGCGAAAGCAGGUCAUAGUGAUCCGGUGGUUCUGAAUGGAAGGGCCAUCGCUCAACGGAUAAAAGGUACUCCGGGGAUAACAGGCUGAUACCGCCCAAGAGUUCAUAUCGACGGCGGUGUUUGGCACCUCGAUGUCGGCUCAUCACAUCCUGGGGCUGAAGUAGGUCCCAAGGGUAUGGCUGUUCGCCAUUUAAAGUGGUACGCGAGCUGGGUUUAGAACGUCGUGAGACAGUUCGGUCCCUAUCUGCCGUGGGCGCUGGAGAAUUGAGGGGGGCUGCUCCUAGUACGAGAGGACCGGAGUGGACGCAUCACUGGUGUUCGGGUUGUCAUGCCAAUGGCACUGCCCGGUAGCUAAAUGCGGAAGAGAUAAGUGCUGAAAGCAUCUAAGCACGAAACUUGCCCCGAGAUGAGUUCUCCCUGAGACUUUAAGUCUCCUGAAGGAACGUUGAAGACGACGACGUUGAUAGGCCGGGUGU